UAACUACUGAUUUUGUGUUCUAUU
Molecule: non-coding RNA, 24 nt
Filed under: Arabidopsis thaliana (thale cress)
Lineage: Eukaryota; Viridiplantae; Streptophyta; Magnoliopsida; Brassicales; Brassicaceae
Source: RNAcentral